RNAcentral lists this ribosomal RNA (430 nucleotides) under uncultured bacterium. RNAcentral describes it as "bacterial SSU rRNA". It matches the Rfam family "Bacterial small subunit ribosomal RNA", at positions 100 to 568 of the family's 1533-position model. The record is from RNAcentral.
GCACGGGUGAGUAACGCGUGGGAAUCUGCCCUGUGGUACGGAAUAACAUCGGGAAACUGGUGCUAAUACCGUAUAUCCCCUGAGGGGGAAAGAUUUAUCGCCAUGGGAGGAGCCCGCGUAGGAUUAGCUAGUUGGUGAGGUAACGGCUCACCAAGGCGACGAUCCUUAGCUGGUCUGAGAGGAUGAUCAGCCACACUGGGACUGAAUACGGCCCAACUCCUACGGGAGGCAGAGUGGGGAAUAUUGGACAAUGGGGGAAACCCUGAUCCAGCCAUGCCGCGUGUGUGAUGAAGGCCUUCGGGUUGUAAAGCACUUUCGCACGUGACGAUGAUGACGGUAACGUGAGAAGAAGCCCCGGCUAACUUCGUGCCAGCAGCCGCGGUAAUACGAAGGGGGCAAGCGUUGUUCGGAAUUACUGGGCGUAAAGGGC